UCUUGGUUUGAUCCAUUAUCUAUUAGUGUUUUAACCCUGGUUUGAUCCAUUAUCUAUCUCAUUGAUCUUUCAGCCUUGGUGUUGUGAAUUUACACUGAUGUUUUAGCCACAGUUUGAUCCAGUAUGAACUGGUAUUUAAGACCUGGUCUGAUCCAAUAUUCCCAUUAUUAUUUUUUAUAUUUUUAUUAGCUAUAGUUUUCCACGAGACUCACUGAUGUUCAGCUGCCCUGUGACAUUCCUUUGGUCCAUUAUUCCCUGAUGUUCAAACUAUUUCAUGGCCUAAUAUUCGUUUGUAUUUCUGUCCUGGUUUGGAAAAAUACUCUGGUUUGUUUUAUCCCAACACAUUGUGGUAUUGCAGUCUCGGUUUGAUUUACUGUAUUUACUGUAUUGACUGAUGUUUUUCUUUGGAUUCCAGAAUCCACUGGUAUUUCAAAGCUGCUUUGGUGCAGAUUUUUGGUAUUUAAACCCAGGUGUUAUUUAUUCUGUCCUUCAGAUCUCCAGAUCUACUGUACUGACGUUCAUCCAGAGGAGCUUGUCCUUGAUGUGCAGCGUCUCCGCUGGGCCUCGCUUCCCCCCAGACGCUGCUCUGUUUCUGGGAUGAGGCGCUGACCUCCGACCCUCCUCUCAGCUGCUUGUGAGAGCUGACAGGAACCACCGGGCUGCUCGGCUCCUGGGGGAGGAGGAGGAGGAGGAGGAGGAGGAGGAGGAGGAGGAGGAGGAGAUAUCUCCCUCUCCCCUCAGGGCUGAGCAGAGAUUCAGUCUGAACUCUGGAUGUGUCUGGUCAGAUCGCAGCGCUUCUGCAGCCGAGCGGCGAGUUGCUGCUGCGAGCGACGAACCGAUCGUUCAUCAUAAUUAGAUGAUAAAUGUAUGUUUAAAUAAAUAAAGUCAUGAUUAUUAACUUGUUGGUUUCACCUGCCAGCAGCUGAAACAGGCCGACGCCGCUGCCAAGAGCAGCAGCAGCCAGAUCCACUUUCCUCCUCAGGUUCCUCAGGUCUGUGAUCAGACGGAGACGUUUCCUUCAGAUGUGUGGAGCUGUGAUUCAUUACAGGAGAAUGAGCGAGGAGCGUUUUGACUCAAUUAAUCUAAUGGAAACAUCAAAAUGUUCUCAAACGCUAUUUUGGUAUUUGAUCUUUUGUCGGUGUCGAUAAUAAAUAUAUCUUUUGACAUUUUAAUCAAAACCGGUUCUGCUGUUGGGCCACGGGCAUAAAUCAGAACCGCUGAGCUGAUUAUUAACAGGAGCAAGACGUUAAGGACUUUCACUUCAAUCACAUGCAACAUGGCGGCUCUGAAGGAGCUGGUUCCUUGUGACCACAGAACUCGCUUCCCUCUCGCUCGUCUCUCCUCCGCGUGGUGAGCGCAGCCUCCUCCAGUUGAACUCAUCGCCUCGCUCCUUCGCCCGCCGAGGCUGCACAAACAAGCGGCGCCCUCCAAACCCUCCGAACCGCUCCGCCGCUGCUCCUCGCCACGACGUGACGCGGCUCGCCGUCCUGAGGGGAGGAGGAGGAGAAAAGAAAAGAAAGUCACCGAUCACAUCAAACACAACAACGGACAAAACAACUCAAGACGACUCUUUGGUUUCCCCAUCGGGCUCGACGGCGUGCUGACGCCGGACGCCACCUCGCCGCGUGUGUUCCUCCGUGAGCAGACGCCUCCCAGACAAACAGAAGACGGAGAUCCAGGAUUGUGCGUCUGACUCGUUUCAUUCCUCUGUCGACACGAAGACGCGCCAGCGUCAGAUGAAUAUUUCAAGCUUCACAAAAUCUGUAAAUUGGCAGUUUUAUCUUCUCGUCUUAGCGGCUGUUGUUUUUUUUUGGGGAGAAUAAACAGAUCAGGAGUUUGAAUUCAGA
Long non-coding RNA from Scophthalmus maximus (turbot), 1847 nucleotides. RefSeq lists it as uncharacterized. The transcript has 2 exons. NCBI's taxonomy places the organism in Eukaryota, Metazoa, Chordata, Actinopteri, Pleuronectiformes, Scophthalmidae. The record is from RefSeq and is a predicted model, not a curated record.